UUAAGACCAGCAGUACCUAUACUAAAAUUGGAAUGAUACAGAGAAGAUAAGAAUGGCUUCUGAGUGAGGAUGACAUAUGAAUUCAAAAUGAGUUCCAUAUUUUA
Small nuclear RNA from Chionomys nivalis (European snow vole), 104 nucleotides. The record is from RefSeq and is a predicted model, not a curated record. Lineage: Eukaryota; Metazoa; Chordata; Mammalia; Rodentia; Cricetidae.